Poecilia latipinna (sailfin molly) is the source of this 6572-nucleotide long non-coding RNA. RefSeq lists it as uncharacterized. The transcript is spliced from 5 exons. NCBI's taxonomy places the organism in Eukaryota, Metazoa, Chordata, Actinopteri, Cyprinodontiformes, Poeciliidae. The record is from RefSeq and is a predicted model, not a curated record.
CAGUGCUGAGCCUCACCUCUGGUGGCGCUGUGUCACACCCGGUGAAUGAAGCAGUUGGCAAAACCCAGAGCCAACUGACCAUCCUCACCACGAGACCGCAGACGGGAGGUCGUUCCUGCCAACAGUUUUGUCAUCUUUUGCUAAUUUGGCCAUAAAAAUAUAUAAAGACAACACAAUAAACGAACAAGAACAUCCCCACCUACCUUUCCAUCAGACCUGUGUGUCUUCACAACAAAAAUCUUAAAUUAUUUCCGUCUCUGUCUCAGCUGCCAUUCCUGAGCCUUUCCUCCCCACUCUUACCCCGUGCUUGAUCUGGCCAGGAAACUGUUAAUAAGUUAGAUUAAAUGCAACCAGAUAGUUUUAUUUUAAAUACAUUUUUACUGUUUUAUCUAAAUAUGACUAUUUUUAAUGGAUUGAAAUAGACUCUCUUCCUAUUGGACUGAAACACUAAAUGAUGGGAGGAAAGUUGAUAAAUGUAGUUUUUUAUUUUUUAUUUUUUGCAGAUUGUCUCAAAAUGAUGUUUUGUUGAACUUUUACUGAGUCCUUUUCGCUUGUAAAUAUCCUUUUAUUUCAAAGUAGAAACAAGUGUGUGUGAUUGGUCAGACACGAGAAAUGAAACUUGAACCUGUCUAGAUUGAAGUGAAGCUGAGUGACGGCCGUCCUUCACACGUGCCGAAGGUCUCAGCAGGUUGGAGUGAGCCACAUGGGGGCGGUAUCCUCUAAUGCUGUCUGCAGGCUCUCUUCCUCGGCUCCUUACUGUCUCACAGGAAAAAUGUCAGUAAAAGCACGCUCAGAAUAACAAACAAACAAGAAGAAAAACAACCAAUCUAGUGUGUUUCCUAAAUCCCUGCAUUCUUCUUCUGUGUUCCGCCUGAGUCACGGUGACUGUUCUGACAAAUCAUCAACAAGAAAGGUCAGUUGAGCAGCUAAUUUGAAGCAGCGGUAAGGUCCUCCCACGGCGGCGCCUUCCAGGCAUUCCUGUCACACUUUGAUGCCUCCAGUUUCCAGCGUGGAGCGACUCUUCUCUUUCGGUUGGAUUGGCGGUCUGGACGCGGCUGUUGACGAUGAGCAACGAUGACUUGCCUGUAAUAAAAUCCAAAUAUUUUGAUAAUGGGCAGGAGGAAAUGGACAGGUGCUGUGUUUGUUUAGGCGACAGAGCUGCUCUCUUCCUGACAGGUGCUCUGCAGACCGGGCAGCGAGGGAAACUCCGCUCACCAACGGAUGCGAGCGCCUUUUGAGGACUCUGUUGACAUAACAUAAUCCCAUCACUUUUUUUUUUUUUUAAGACUCUGAGGUUGUGGUUAAAGUACCUGACUCUGCCUUGGAGAUGAUUCACUAAUGUAGCAGAAAGCAGGUCGUUUUGCAUGGGUCAGAACUGAUUGCUGUGUUUAGAGAACAAAUGUAUGUGUGUGUGUGUGUGAGACUUCCUUUUAAUAACAUACCAUAACAUUUGGUCAUCUGAAGUGCCUCCAGGACUCAUCCGACUAUCCGGUCUUGUGGGAGAGUUUGGUGCUUUCCAGCCACUAAUGUUGGAUCAGUCACUGGUUCCUGAUUAACCAGAGCUGCUCCCAUGUUUCCCCUCCUAUCGGCUUCUACGCACUGCAAAAACACAAAGUCUUAACAGUGCUCACAUGACAGAUGUUGUUCAGCAGCUGACCGGCCGGCCGGCUCCCGGCUUCUUACCAGCCGUUGUCCCGGUGCGCGGUGACGCAGGUCGCCGGCACACAGAGGACAAUCCUGCAUCUCCUCCCAUGUCUUGUGCUCCUCAGCUUCAGUGUUCUUCGUGUGGAAGUCAUGAUGGACGGGCAGCUGCUGUCAAUCCAAUGGACUAGCAGCCCAUGGCAUAUUUGUGGACUUGCAGUCGACGCUUUAUACCAGAACUGUGCUGCCUUCCCUUCGCCUUUCCCCCACGGCCCACAUUCCAGCCUCUCCCGUCACCAUUCACGCCGCGUCUCUCCACGUUUCUACGCCGGCAGCAGAGAUGUCUCACGCUCAGGUUUGAGGUUGCAUCAUUUGUCUUUCCCCAGCAAUUGACAUAUCUGUGAUAAAAUGCGAGUUCACCCACUGAGGCUUUGUACCGAGGGAUUUGAAGAGGUGUAAAAGGAUGUGGCCUGGGGCUCUGUUCUUUGCUGGAGGGAACGCAGUUUUUCUUUAGAAAAAAAAAAAGAUGGUGGGAAGGGAAGUGUGGGGGAAGAAAGUGGUGAAGUAAAAAAAAAAAAAAAAAAAAAAAAAGGUACCUUUUUUGGAAACUGCUGUGGGUCACAUGGAUGUUCGGUUAUAUUUUCGGAAAAGUCGUUGCAGAAGUGGCCUCCCUGUAAAACAGAAAAGAAAGACUUUAGACUCCACUCAGACAUGAGGUUACAGUACAUACACUGUAAAAGAACAAACCCAUAAAGACAGCUGCAUUCAGGUUUGAAGUAGCAGCUCCAAACCAGUGAGCAUGUGUAAGUUCCCAGGACUGCAGAUAAGGUCAUAUAGUCUUAUCUACGUCUUUUUUCCACUCUUUGGUGAUGCUGCAGCCGCCACAAAGCAGAGAGGUCCACAGUGCAAACCAGAGGUGGACCACCAGAACAUCCAGGAGGCAAAACGGUCCUCAAUGCUGAGGCCAUCAACACUCCACAGAAAUUUAGCAGUAUUCCGGGCUAAACUAAUUGUCUUUGUUUUUUAUUGUAAAGCUUUUACAAAUCAUAAAGUGUUUAAUAGAUCAGUUUAGAACAGACCAGUCAAAAUAUGUAACAUUAUACAUCUCAAAAGGCGUUUAUGCAGGUUUUACAUAUUGUGAUAUUCUAUAUUUUGAAGUUGGCAUAUUUAAAUGUUGUCCAGUGUGAAUGGUACAAGUUCUAGGCGCUGUUGUGUCAAUGUUUGAGACUCUUAUUUUGAAGCCAAAACGGAAGUAGCUCCUGGGUUAACCCUGCUGUACAUGACUGAUGAAAUGUUUUUAUCACACUUGCUGACAAGACUAUUACUAAAGCACUGAAGGAGAUUCUUCAUAAAACUAAAAAAUUACAGAAAACCGGCGUCAGCAGCGUCUUCUUCAUCAGACUGCUGUACAACAGGAGCAUUUCCAGAACAACUACAGGAAGUCCGGCCUGCCCACUGGCAUCAACUUCUCUGACAACGCUUUGAAGGAAAUGCGUAUUUUUGAAUCCGAUUGAGAGGCAUUCACUGCUUUUAAAUCCAACUUCAGGCAGCAUGUCUGGUACUUAUGAAAAAAAGAAAUCGACUUCACCCAAAUACUUUGUAAGCAUUUUGAAAUGAACGCAGUUCGUCUUAGCUGUUAGCUGCUAAAGCUCCUGAUAUGAAGCCGUUGCUGUUAGCCAUGCAUGAAACCAGCAAUAGAAGGACUGGUGUGACUGAGAUGAGGACGGUCACAAGAUUCCUUCAAAGGUUUGCAAUUUGUGCCCUUUUAUUUUUACUUUCCUCAAAAAUAUUGCAAACAUAUUGCCUUAUCGUCUUGUAUCGUCUAAAAUCCUAAGUUCUAUCUCUAGCGUACGCCAAUCAGAUUUUUUAUUUUUUUUUUUUUUACCCUCUACUGAAGCAUUUUAUUUGCAGGACAAAGCUUGAGCUGGAGACAUAACAGGAAAACUGGAAGCACAAAGUAACCAGGGUUUCCAACUGCAGCAACCAAAGACCAAUCAGACGAGGAUCCGGACCGCAGCGUUGCAACACGACCGCGCUGGUCAUCGACACCGCAAAGGGAAACUGCAACCCCCAGCCUCCCACGCCCCAACCCCCCCCUCAGGAUACCAGCAACAGUCAAGCAGCUCGAACUUCAGAAAAAAACAAAGUUGCACCGGUUGAGGAAGGGUGUGUGUGUGGGUGGGAAGGGUGGUGGGGGUUACGGGGGUUGCUAGCGUGGGUGAGGAGGGGCGAGGCCAGGCGUGUCAUUCCAUUCCUACUUGAGCUGGGCACUGCUAUUCCUAGAGUGUGGUUACAUGGCAGUUGAUGUGGGUUUCCUCUUAGUUGCCUCGAAGAUGACUGGGCCUGACCACAUCCACAUUGACACACACACACCAGCAACACAUUCACAAAGUGACAACUGUGUGCGCACAUGCAGCACACACACACCACACAAACUUUCAAGGAGAGGACAAAGAGGAACUGAAUCAUUGCCAUGCUUUAGCAUGAAUGUAAGGGACGGGGGGAAGCGAGGUGACCAUUCUUAAAAGUUUGUGUCUGUGUGUGUAUGUGCACUGUAAGUUCACUUCUGCUGCAAACCGUUUGUGUACAUGUGCUGUUUGUUGCUCAAGUGUGUGUGUGUGUGUGUGUGUGUGUGUGUGUGUGUGUGUGAGCUGGGUGUGGAUGCAUUCCCUGUCUCUCCACGUCCUGAGCGCGCUCAGCCUGCUCCGCGCUCCAUCUUUAAGGUUUCCUUCGGCUGCAGCUCGGCGCUCGUUAUCUAUCAAAAACCUACAGUGCCGGAGCACGUUUGUGAAUAAAGAAAAAGGAUCCAAAAAUAGGUCUGGAGGAUGACUGGAGUUCUUCCUCUUCCUCUUUCCUUUCUGCACUCACUGAAAGACAACUUUGUUACUUUCAGCGGCAGCGGUUAGCGUCUUCUUGCAAUUUUCUUUAAAAAAAAAAAAGAGAGACAACUUUAAGACCAAAGUGUGUCCACUUUUUGAAGCAGAACUGGUAUUAAAGUGAAUAAUCAAAAUUGUCCUAGACCAAAAUGUUUUGCUGGUUUUUUUUUCCACAGAGAUGCUUCUUCUAGGUGAUAAGAUGCAGUGAGCCCCAGGUGCUUCCUGCCAAUAAAGCAGUAACCAGUCAAUCGGGUGCACAGACCCCAGCAGACCCCAGACUGAGAGUCUCAGUUGGACGUGAUUGUGAGUAAAAACUCUCAACCCAAACGGAGAGAGAAAACCAACAGCUUUUUAUCAAUGCUGAUCCGUUUCCGCCAGAAAGGCCGGUGGAAGUCCCUUAUCGCCCCAUCAGGCUUUACAUGUCAGGCGCUUUUAAAUGGCUCCCCUGGGUUGCUGCUUGAUGGCUUUCACUCAAUUAUCAUACUGACUUCAGGGUUAAAGCGUAGCGAGCGAAAGGCCUUCUCCAGAGAGAGCUCCAGCUCCAGAGGAGGAGAGCGAUGUCUGCGGGCUCUUCCAGGAGGCUGGACUGAUGGGAAAGAGCUGGCGAAAAGAGCGAGGAAAGCGAACUCCCUCCUCGAGCUGCUUUACGAGGGCCUGGCAGAAGUGCUGAGGAAAGAAAAGAGGUGCAGCAAGAGGACGGAGGGGUGUCAGUUUGAGAAGGGAUAGAGAGAUGAAAAGUGUCCUUUUGUCCAACGUUGGGGGAAAAGAGGCACUUUGCCUCUGUUGGGUCACAGGGUUUACGGAGAACUAGGACUGCACCCUGGCACACGUGGCUAUAAAUCUGCUUCAUUAGUCCCAACAAGCAGCAAUGUGGAGUCUAGAGUUUUAUAAUGUGAGCUCUGGCUUUGAGAGCAACAACCUGACCGCUAAUAUCUCAGAUCUUAACGCCAACAGUCAAGAAACGGGACAAUGGCAGCAGGGAGAGUUUCUUAGGUAACUUCCCAAGAGUUAGACACUUGAUUGAAUGAACCUGCUAAUCUGCUUCAGCAUCAGACUGAUCUUGUGCAAUAGUCCCAAUUCCUUUCUGACGUCUUCCUACACCAGCCACUUUGAAUAAUCAGCCAAGCUGAGUCAUUGUGUGAACUGAUUACCUUCGGAAAACAAAAGGAACACCUUAAAAACGCAGCUCUGCAGGCCUUGCCCAUUGAUCCUGGUUUUCCAUGACGUGCAUCCGUCUCCACUACCUUUUCCUCUCACACACACACACACAACUACGCGCAUUCGUGUUGGUUUAUACACACACGCACACACACGCAGAAAAAAGACUGCCACUUAUUGGAAUUCAGUGUGGGGCCCAGGUAGGGGAAGCUCUGCCCAUAUAUGAGCAAAGGAGGAAGAAGGCCAGGUGUGUGUGGUUUGAACACCGUUGGAACGACUGUUCUAGAGAACACACACACCCGGGCGCACACGCGCACACACACAGGAAAAAGCCCAUUCACAGAAAGUACAGAGAAGACACAUGCAUACCGAGGCUGGAGCCAGCUCCUCCUGUUGUGCACGUUCAGCAUUCAGUCCUGUGACGUGAAAGUCAUGCCACUAAGCCUUAACUCUACGAUCUAGCGCAGAAUGACAGACUUGUUGCUAUAUAAACAAAGAGAGUCAUGUGAAAAGGAAAGUGGGGAAAGAGGGAAUGAGUCAAGUCAUAGUGAAGACUUCUUAACCUAGUUUUUGUUACAUAACUCCACCAGCAUUGGAGGAACUAUGCUAUGUCGCAAUGUCUCACUGCCAUAGACACCAGCCGGAGGUUUAGGCUGGAUAGGGGUGACUUGCGGUCUAACUUCCCUCAGCCUUUCCCACCUUCAGGAAACGUGUGCGUCUGCCACCCUCCGCUGUGGAGUAAGACGGCCGGUCAUGACGGGAAGCCCUGAAGCAAAGUCCUAUUCUGCCAGUCUGACCACGAACACUCAACGUCUGCUCCCCUUCACCCACAGCACUUUUCUGCACCUCAGAAACGUAAUGUUACUUUUCUAAAAAUAAAAAAGUACCCCAACCCAA